RNAcentral lists this ribosomal RNA (215 nucleotides) under uncultured Alcanivorax sp. Its description in RNAcentral is "partial 16S ribosomal RNA". It matches the Rfam family "Bacterial small subunit ribosomal RNA", at positions 117 to 335 of the family's 1533-position model. The record is from RNAcentral. Lineage: Bacteria; Pseudomonadati; Pseudomonadota; Gammaproteobacteria; Oceanospirillales; Alcanivoracaceae.
GUGAGAAUCUGCCCAUUAGUGGGGAUAACCUGGGGAAACCCAGGCUAAUACCGCAUAAUCCCUACGGGGGAAAGCAGGGACCUUCGGCCUUGUGCUGAUGGAUGAGCUCGCGUCGGAUUAGCCUUGUUGGUAGAGGUAAUGGACUCACCAAGGCGACGAUCCGUAGCUGGUCUUAGAGGAUGAUCAGCCACACCGGGACUGAGACACGGCCCGGA